GUCUUCUCAAAUACACUUUUUGACAAACCCUAGAUCAGUACGCCAGUUCUUCUUCUUCAUUAUUCGUCGCUGAUAUAUAAUCCAAAACUGAAAAAACUGAUCGGUUGCAUCAGGUAUGUUGGGAAGAAGAUAGAUAUGGCAACGAAUGAUGGCGAAGAGAUAAGCUGUGAUGGGUUGGGUUGCAUCAGAAUCAUGUCCUACGCCUACCUUUUCAGUUGUAGAGAGUGGCCUCCUUCAAUGGUUUUGUUGCUAACUUUAUUUUGUUGGUCAACAUGAUAGCCUCCUUCGAAGUCAACAACAGUAAUUCAAGUUGCAAUACUUGCUGGUCAACGUGAUACGCCUCCUUUAGAGUCAACAGCAGCAGCCGGAGUUACAACUUCUGUAGGUUAACAUGGAACUUCUGCACUGUCUUAAUGCUCAAUAGGGUCAACGUCAAAUCAAAGGUUACGAUAGGUCUACACUAUACACUUUCACAUUUCUUUACUUCUUUUAAAAGUCUUUCACUUUCACAUAUGAUAUCCAUCUUAAUGCUAUUUGAUUCAAAAGGUGUAUAUACACUGAGAUUUAUAAUAACAAUUUUUAAACUAAUUGAAGCGACAGUCGAUUGAAGUUGUGCAGUCAAAAAAUAGAGAUUACAAAAGAUUACCCUUACAGGUAAUAGUGAUCUAUAAUUUGUAGCAAAAUAAGUUUACAUGUUAAGAUCAAGAUGGGAAGGAAAAACUUCCGAUUAAAAGGUCAAGAAGAAGCCUCGGCAGUUUAAAUAUGAUUACUGGCAAGAAUAAUGAACUGAACAAAGCAGGUGCAUCUGCUAACGGAGCUUAUCCCAAAAGGUCUAAAAAAUAUGAGGAAAGAGUUGCAGAUUAAGAUGGCUAAACUAUCUGAUACCCAAUGUUAAACAUGGUCAAUUCACUGGUGAUGAAGACAAGAUGAUCUGCAGUUUGUAUGCUAAUUUUGGUAGCAGGUUCAGAUGGCUUUGAAUUCGGGUUGGUUUUGGGUUGCAGUAUGCAACCAUGCCGAAGCUCCACCAUGUGGAUGUAAUUAAAAAGAAUUAUUUUAGGCUGCUCUUUGUUCUACACAGCUUGAUCAUGUUUAUUGAAAGUUGGUGCCUUUGCAGUUCUACAUAGCUUGAUCAUUGUUCUACACGACUCUUCGUCAAUCCUAACGUGUACCCUCAAAAUCUAACAUCUGAAACCGGGGACCCCAAAACAAUCGGCCAAACAGUGAUGAUGAUGGUUAUGAAUGCAAACGGCAGCGGUAUCAAGGAGUUGUAGCGGCGACCGUCUAGGGGUUAAGCGUGUGGAGACACUGAUGACUGUAUUUCAACUUCUGAGGCUGAAGAAAUGACCGUAAAACUUGAGGAAUAUUAGAUUAAAAAUCUACCUAGACCUGGACAAGUGAAUUUUUAUCAAUGGAGGCCCCUAUAUGCUAGGUACUCAUUUCUUAUACAAAGCUCUCUUAACUUAUUAGAACUCAUAUACAAAUUAGGGGUGUUAAAUGGGUCAUGUUCAUGAUUUGACUUAUCAAAACCAACACGACAUGAACCCGUGAAAAUCGUUCUAAAGAUGACAUUCUUGUAUCUAAUGAAUGCCUCACAUAUGACCAAUAUGCAACAGUUAGCCAAAUUCAUAGAUAUUCAACAACUCUCCUACGGUUUCUUAAUAAUAUAUUGGACAAAUGCAGUGUAAUAUUGUAAAAGAAUUAUAACCUGAAUUUAGAGAGAAAUAAUAUUGUCUCAUAGUAUAUAAGUUAUAUUCUAACAAAGUUACGAAUUGCAAAAAAUUAUGUAGUAACUCUUACAUAAAGUUUACUAAUGCUUUAGCUUCAUUAGUGUUUGUUUAUAUUGAUUGAAUUGUUUCGGAGGUAAUGUGCUUUUUUACCCUUUUCAAAAUCUUUGACAAAUACUUAGUGAGUUAUUAUAACUACAAAAACAAUAUUAUUAACUUUCGAUAUGUUUUUUAUCGAAAAGUUUAUAGAUACUUAUAAUAUUUUGAAUUUUCGAACAACAAUUUUUUUCCACCUAAAUAUGACAUAACCUUGAAUCUUUAUGAUUGUUGCAUUUUCAUGGGACGUUGGGUGCAUUCCGCGUGAAAGAAGAUGACAAACGGUGUGACUCCUUUGUUGGUGCUCUCCUAAUAACGAUUGUUGACGACCAAUCCAUUAAUAGAGGUACUUGACACCUUUGCAGAGAUCCAAGACAGUCAUAUUGUCGUAAGAGAAGUGGAAAGGAAGCUUCUUGAGUUGCAACAAGUGUGUAUAUGUGUAUAUAAAAGGAUAAUGUUAACAGAAUACUUUAUUUAAUCCAUGAUUAUAAGUAUGUAUUAAUCAUAAAUAGUUUUUAACAAAACUAACUUUCACAAGGUAAACUAAUAAUAGAAACUUUUGUGGGUCCAA
Molecule: long non-coding RNA, 2391 nt
Organism: Helianthus annuus (common sunflower)
Lineage: Eukaryota; Viridiplantae; Streptophyta; Magnoliopsida; Asterales; Asteraceae
Exons: 8
Source: RefSeq, a predicted model, not a curated record